AUUAGGAUAUGAAUAUAUAAAUGAUUGAAUGUGAAGGCCAACACGGAGAGAGCAAUUUAAUGGUUAUGACACAGUUGAUUCGUAAUGGUUUGUGAAGGGGGUACUUGUCUGGGCUCGAGAGCAGUACAAAAGAUCAUCAUACGCGAGCUAAACUUAGUGAUAAGUCAAUAGGCGAUGCAUGCUGGUCGGACGACCUCAAAAUUACCUUAUUCCGACACACACGUAUGCGCAUUAAAAAGUGAUUUUGCCCUUUUGAAUUUUUAGUUGUAUUAUAUGAGAUGCCUCUGGUGUUUGUGUUUAUUCAAGUGUGAUUUCAAAGUCCGCCGAAAGUUACUGUCCCACGGGGUGAAACAGUAGUGAGCAGAUCGGUGAUGGUUCAGUUAAACUAUCGAUUGGAUAAGAGACACAUUGGUUUGAGAAUUAAAGUUAAAGGAUUUAUGCCACGUCAGUUCGUUGUGUUUUGACACUCUUUAAAGCCUGUUUCGUUCGGAUUUUUCUGCUGUAAAAUUUUGUAUAAUAUGGCACUAGUAUUUGUUAUUUCGAUGUGUUAUUUUAAGUGUUAUUACCAUACUAUUAUAAUACUAUUAUUUUUAUUAGUAAUGUUACGUAAUUAUACAGUCUGUUAUGUAUGCGAAUAAUAGUACCAUCCUUCCAUUUCUGUCAGCUUAUUUAUGUACUUUAAAAUUGCUAUCAGUAAUUUAUUUACUUGACUUUUAAAAUAUACCCCGUUUAAUUCCCUAGACUGCCUUUUAUUUUUUGCUUUUUCGUUCCAGAUGCGUUUCCGCAAAUGAUGCGGGCAGUACAGUUUUAAUCGAUUGAAACGCCAACAAAACACGAACCGUCAAAAGCAAUGGCUGUUUGACGAUGGACCUUGGCGGACAUAAACCGAAAAGUGAACACUGUGAGAGACAGACCAGACUUGUGGCACGGAAUCAAUAUUUUUUAUCUAUCCAUCCAUCCAUCCAUCCAUCCAUCCAUCCAUCCGUCCGUUCGUCCGUCCGUCCGUGUCCGAGGUCGACUGAAAAAAGAUCGAAUUCAGUUUUUUUAAGUUUUUCUUUUUGCUUUCUUUUGGCGCGUUGUUUUGUGUCUUGUCAUGAUUGUUUUGUCGCACACAAAGCAUUACAUCAAAUUUUACGUGAGCAUGAUAAACUACUGCAUAUUUUAUCAGAUGCUGCGACGUUCCUGUUCUUUGUACUUAGCCUUUUAAGUCACCAUUUAAAUCCAUUAUAGCUAAUAGUAUAUUAUAUGCACUAUUUAAAUUCAUUUUAUUGUAUCAAUUUGUUGCAUAUUUGUUAUUUAAAACCUAAAUCGGAGAACGUUUUGAUAGCAGUAUGCAUCUCGUGUCAUUAUUAAAGGAAACAAUGUUAAGUCUCACGA
Long non-coding RNA from Brienomyrus brachyistius, 1377 nucleotides. RefSeq lists it as uncharacterized. NCBI's taxonomy places the organism in Eukaryota, Metazoa, Chordata, Actinopteri, Osteoglossiformes, Mormyridae. The transcript is spliced from 2 exons. The record is from RefSeq and is a predicted model, not a curated record.